Molecule: ribosomal RNA, 250 nt
Filed under: Picochlorum sp. RCC944
Lineage: Eukaryota; Viridiplantae; Chlorophyta; Trebouxiophyceae
Description: partial Bacterial large subunit ribosomal RNA
Rfam family: Bacterial large subunit ribosomal RNA
Source: RNAcentral
ACGAGACUCCGUUAGUAGUGGCGAGCGAACGCGGACCAGGCCAGUGCCUUCAUUUCAACUAGCAGAACGGACUGGAAAGUUCGGCCAUAGCGGGUGACAGCCCCGUAUGCGAAAGUGAUGAUGAAGGACUUGAGUAGGGCGGGACACGUGUAAUCCUGUCUGAAUAUAGGGGGACCACCCUCUAAGCCUAAAUACUCGUGCAUGACCGAUAGUGAACUAGUACCGUGAGGGAAAGGCGAAAAGAACCCCG